AAGUCGUAACAAGGUAUCCGUAGGUGAACCUGCGGAUGGAUCAUUAACGAUACGUUGGUUUUGUGCAAACAAAACCACGUUUCUACCAACCCAACCUGUGCGAGGAGUGGAUAAUGUUUUUUUAAGUUUUCGGACUUGGGCAUUUCCCCUCCGUUUAUUCUUUCCAUUCUUACUUUACAAACCUUAAAACCCUAAUUCUUCGUUCUCGAAGGACUUAACACUUCUAUUUUCAAAUCGAAAGGGAGACCUCGUGUCUCUUCGAUUAGAUAUGAAAUCCUGUACAACUCUUAGCAACGGAUAUCUUGGUUCUC
Molecule: unclassified non-coding RNA, 311 nt
Filed under: fungal sp.
Lineage: Eukaryota; Fungi
Description: partial internal transcribed spacer region
Rfam family: Eukaryotic small subunit ribosomal RNA (bases 1-46)
Source: RNAcentral